Molecule: long non-coding RNA, 1245 nt
Organism: Frankliniella occidentalis (western flower thrips)
Lineage: Eukaryota; Metazoa; Arthropoda; Insecta; Thysanoptera; Thripidae
Exons: 2
Source: RefSeq, a predicted model, not a curated record
UACCGAGGCUCAGAGUUUGGACAGCUGCGCCGGCGGGCAGGGUGGAACGAACAGGAGACCACCGCGGGGGACCCUCCUCGCGCCGGCUCUACCACGCGGCCCGCCUGGCCGAGUCAGCGAGUCAGCUGCCAGCUCGGGGGUCGCGCGGGCGGCACGGCUCAACAACAUCCUCGGCGACACGCUGGUGCAUCUCGAGCGAGAAGCCUCGGCCGGCCCCACCACUCUUCGAUCGUUUUUUUCUGGCAUUGGUGGAGGACUACGGUUAAAUUUAAAGUGCCGGAAUAUUGCAACUGAUAUGAGUUGUGUUGUAUCUUCAGUAAUAUAUCAGAGCCGCGGCAUGUCAAGAAAGUGGAAUGUAAUGUGCGAUGACAAUUUAGGUAUACUGAAACCAGAGGAAAGUUAAACGCACCUCCUCCUGCUAUGAGUUGUUUCUGAAUUUUGAAACCAAGUACUUCUGGGAUACUUAAACUAUCAAGUCGAAAUUAGGGUAAACGAAGAAUGCUCUGACUUAUAUUAUUACCCUUACAACUGAAAUUGCUUCAUUGGGAAAAUUUUGUUGCAUCGAAUUAAUUUACAAACAAAAGUGCUCUAAUUAAACAAAUAACGAUCAGGUUAAAAGAUAACAAAGUGUUGCGCGCGACUAUUUCGACUUCUAUAAAAAGCCUACGCUUCAUGUACAAAAUUCACUUUGCAUGGGCAUAUUUACCGAGAUAGAUACACAAUAUACACUCGCAUUGCGUUUGCGCGUCUAAAAUAAAGGGCCUGGAGAGAGGGUGGGUCACAGAGCGGGUGAUAGAGACGGAGACUGAGAGAGUGUGUGCGAGAAAGAGAGCCGGGGAAGGGGGAGACAGCCCUGAGCAGAGGGAGGGGAGCAGUGGGAGGCACUGCAUCGCUCUCUAAUGGCAUGAUAUACUGCGAGGGCGCGCGGCCCGCGGCGGACCUCGUAUUCCUCACUUCCCCUAAAGCGUGCCCGCCCCGGCUCUUGCCGCCCUCUCAGGCCCCACCACCCUGCACAAACCCGCACAGGAAACCGCGUGGCCCCGCCACAACCAGCCCCCGAUGGCCCUUCAAAUCGUACAGGCAUAAAUCUUAUUUUGUUUUGCCGGUCCCCUUAUACACGUCUAAAAUAUGUGUACGGUAAAACAAAUUACCACGAGAUAAAAAGAAAACGCAUGUCUAACACUUUCAUAUUAACAUGCUUCGAUGUACGCAUUUUGAAAUAAAAUACGAGCAGGCAAAUUUUAA